This 117-nucleotide ribosomal RNA is filed under the name Oscillospiraceae bacterium. Lineage: Bacteria; Bacillati; Bacillota; Clostridia; Eubacteriales; Oscillospiraceae. The record is from RNAcentral.
GUCGGUGUUACUGGCGAUGAGGAUUCACCUGUUCCCAUUCCGAACACAGAAGUUAAGCUCAUCAGUGUCGAAGAUACUUGGCGGGUGACUGCCUGGGAAAAUAGAGCGAUGCCGACA